UAUGAGUUCAAAAAGUAUACAUCUUGAAGAAUCUUGGAACAUAAUAUGCUUGAGGAUAUUUUUAACUAAAUUUGAACAAUUCUGAGACAUUAAUGUGGAAGUAAGCUUCUUCAGUAGAAUUAAUCACUGGCUAUGCACUAUCUCAAUAUAGUCUAUGCUGAUGAACUCAACAUAUAAAACCUACAUAGCAUGCACAAAGUAGCUGAUACUAUCCUAUACC
Molecule: long non-coding RNA, 220 nt
Filed under: Elaeis guineensis (African oil palm)
Lineage: Eukaryota; Viridiplantae; Streptophyta; Magnoliopsida; Arecales; Arecaceae
Description: long non-coding RNA (EGUI_LNC025265)
Source: RNAcentral